RNAcentral lists this ribosomal RNA (1430 nucleotides) under Halomonas sp. Its description in RNAcentral is "bacterial SSU rRNA". It matches the Rfam family "Bacterial small subunit ribosomal RNA". Lineage: Bacteria; Pseudomonadati; Pseudomonadota; Gammaproteobacteria; Oceanospirillales; Halomonadaceae. The record is from RNAcentral.
GAUUGAACGCUGGCGGCAGGCCUAACACAUGCAAGUCGAGCGGAAACGAUGGAAGCUUGCUUCCAGGCGUCGAGCGGCGGACGGGUGAGUAAUGCAUAGGAAUCUGCCCGAUAGUGGGGGAUAACCUGGGGAAACCCAGGCUAAUACCGCAUACGUCCUACGGGAGAAAGCAGGGGAUCUUCGGACCUUGCGCUAUCGGAUGAGCCUAUGUCGGAUUAGCUAGUUGGUGAGGUAACGGCUCACCAAGGCCGCGAUCCGUAGCUGGUCUGAGAGGAUGAUCAGCCACAUCGGGACUGAGACACGGCCCGAACUCCUACGGGAGGCAGCAGUGGGGAAUAUUGGACAAUGGGCGAAAGCCUGAUCCAGCCAUGCCGCGUGUGUGAAGAAGGCUUUCGGGUUGUAAAGCACUUUCAGUGGGGAAGAAAUCCUCGGGGCCAAUACCCUCGAGGGAGGACAUCACCCACAGAAGAAGCACCGGCUAACUCCGUGCCAGCAGCCGCGGUAAUACGGAGGGUGCGAGCGUUAAUCGGAAUUACUGGGCGUAAAGCGCGCGUAGGCGGCGUGAUAAGCCGGUUGUGAAAGCCCCGGGCUCAACCUGGGAACGGCAUCCGGAACUGUCAGGCUAGAGUGCAGGAGAGGAAGGUAGAAUUCCCGGUGUAGCGGUGAAAUGCGUAGAGAUCGGGAGGAAUACCAGUGGCGAAGGCGGCCUUCUGGACUGACACUGACGCUGAGGUGCGAAAGCGUGGGUAGCAAACAGGAUUAGAUACCCUGGUAGUCCACGCCGUAAACGAUGUCGACUAGCCGUUGGGGUCCUUGUGACCUUUGUGGCGCAGUUAACGCGAUAAGUCGACCGCCUGGGGAGUACGGCCGCAAGGUUAAAACUCAAAUGAAUUGACGGGGGCCCGCACAAGCGGUGGAGCAUGUGGUUUAAUUCGAUGCAACGCGAAGAACCUUACCUACUCUUGACAUCGUGCGAACUUUCCAGAGAUGGAUUGGUGCCUUCGGGAACGCACAGACAGGUGCUGCAUGGCCGUCGUCAGCUCGUGUUGUGAAAUGUUGGGUUAAGUCCCGUAACGAGCGCAACCCUUGUCCCUAUUUGCCAGCGAUUCGGUCGGGAACUCUAGGGAGACUGCCGGUGACAAACCGGAGGAAGGUGGGGACGACGUCAGGUCAUCAUGGCCCUUACGAGUAGGGCUACACACGUGCUACAAUGGCCGGUACAAAGGGUUGCGAAGCCGCGAGGUGGAGCUAAUCCCGAAAAGCCGGUCUCAGUCCGGAUCGGAGUCUGCAACUCGACUCCGUGAAGUCGGAAUCGCUAGUAAUCGUGAAUCAGAAUGUCACGGUGAAUACGUUCCCGGGCCUUGUACACACCGCCCGUCACACCAUGGGAGUGGACUGCACCAGAAGUGGUUAGCCUAACUUCGGAGGGC